This 514-nucleotide ribosomal RNA is filed under the name Platymachaerota elevata. RNAcentral's name for it is "partial 16S ribosomal RNA". The stretch from base 387 to 514 matches the Rfam family "Bacterial large subunit ribosomal RNA", at positions 2473 to 2600 of the family's 2925-position model. Lineage: Eukaryota; Metazoa; Arthropoda; Insecta; Hemiptera; Machaerotidae. The record is from RNAcentral.
GUCUUUUAGUUUUUAUUAAAGGUUUAAUCUGCCCAAUGAAAAUUUUAAAUGGCUGCGGUAAUUUGACCGUACAAAGGUAGCAUAGUAAUUAGUCUUUUAAUUUGAGUCUGGUAUGAAUGAUUGGAUGAGAAAAUUUCUUUCUUUAAUUUAUUAUUAAAAUUUUAUUUUUAAGUGAGAAAGCUUAAGUUUUUGUCUGGGACGAUAAGACCCUAUAGAGUUUAAUAAUUUUUUUUAUUAUUAUUAUUUUUAGAUGUUAAUAAUUUUUUUUAAUUGGAAUUAUUUUGUUGGGGUGAUAACUAAAUUUUUCUUUACUUUUGUUUUUUAAUUCAUUUUUGUUUGAUUAUUUUGAUCUAUUUUUAUUGAUUGUAAGAUGAAAUUACCUUAGGGAUAACAGCGUAAUUUAUUUUAAGAGUUCUUAUCGAAGAUUAAGUUUGCGACCUCGAUGUUGGAUUAAGAUUAGGAAAGGGUGAAGGUUUUCUUUAUACUAGGUCUGUUCGACCUUUAAAUUCUUACA